CACAUUUCAAGCUGUUAGCAGAUAACAUUUUAAAGAUUUGACACACCAAAAUGCGAAGAAAAUGAAAAUGUAUAUCAGAAUAUAUUUCAGAAAAAAAGUA
Gopherus evgoodei (Goodes thornscrub tortoise) is the source of this 100-nucleotide long non-coding RNA. RefSeq lists it as uncharacterized. The record is from RefSeq and is a predicted model, not a curated record. NCBI's taxonomy places the organism in Eukaryota, Metazoa, Chordata, Testudines, Testudinidae. The transcript is spliced from 3 exons.